CCUACGGGAGGCAGCAGUGAGGAAUAUUGCUCAAUGGACGAGAGUCUGAACCAGCCAAGUAGCGUGAAGGAUGACUGCCCUAUGGGUUGUAAACUUCUUUUAUAUGGGAAUAAAAUGUUCCACGUGUGGGAUUUUGUAUGUACCAUAUGAAUAAGGAUCGGCUAACUCCGUUCCAGCAGCCGCGGUAAUACGGAGGAUCCGAGCGUUAUCCGGAUUUAUUGGGUUUAAAGGGUGCGUAGGUGGAUUGUUAAGUCAGUUGUGAAAGUUUGCGGCUCAACCGUAAAAUGGCAGUUGAAACUGGCAGACUUGAGUACAGGAGAGGUAGGCGGAAUGCGUGGUGUAGCGGUGAAAUGCUUAGAUAUCAAGAAGAACACCGAUUGCGAAGGCAGUUCACUGGACUGCAACUGACACUGAGGCACGAAGGUGAGGGGAUCAAACAGGAUUAGAUACCCUAGUAGUC
This 460-nucleotide ribosomal RNA is filed under the name uncultured bacterium. Its description in RNAcentral is "partial 16S ribosomal RNA". It matches the Rfam family "Bacterial small subunit ribosomal RNA", at positions 338 to 795 of the family's 1533-position model. The record is from RNAcentral.